RNAcentral lists this ribosomal RNA (422 nucleotides) under uncultured bacterium. RNAcentral describes it as "bacterial SSU rRNA". It matches the Rfam family "Bacterial small subunit ribosomal RNA", at positions 355 to 774 of the family's 1533-position model. The record is from RNAcentral.
UAAGGAAUAUUGGUCAAUGGACGCAAGUCUGAACCAGCCAUGCCGCGUGGAGGAUGAAGGUCCUCUGGAUUGUAAACUUCUUUUAUCUGGGACGAAACACUUCUUUUCUAAGAGGCCUGACGGUACCAGGUGAAUAAGCACCGGCUAACUCCGUGCCAGCAGCCGCGGUAAUACGGAGGGUGCAAGCGUUAUCCGGAUUCACUGGGUUUAAAGGGUGCGUAGGUGGGUAUGUAAGUCAGUGGUGAAAUCCCCGAGCUUAACUUGGGAACUGCCAUUGAUACUAUAUAUCUUGAAUACCGUAGAGGUGAGCGGAAUAUGACAUGUAGCGGUGAAAUGCUUAGAUAUGACAUGGAACACCAAUUGCGAAGGCAGCUUACUAUGCGGUGAUUGACACUGAGGCACGAAAGCGUGGGUAGCAAACA